CAGGCAUAGUAAUGGGAUUCAAUCAAUGAGAAUGCUUGGGUGAGACAAAGGAAUCUUUAAAAGUUGAGCAAGAAUGAUUUUCUAUUUCUUCUGGAUCAGUGACCUCCAGCAGGACUUAAAGUAGUGUUAGGACAUGCUUCACAGUGUUGCAAAAGAGCAGGCUGUCUUGUCAGCAGGCACAGAGUAAACAAGGAAUCAGUGGACUACAAAAUCAAUAAUGCAAUUUAGAUUUUAUAACCAUUGUUCAUAACCACACACUGCUAUCCCUAAAACUAUGUCAGGAAUCAGGUAUUCAUUGACUAGAAGACCAGAAUCUGUAAUUGUAUCUAAUAUGUUUUUAUGACCACAAGGAACCUGAUUCUAUUAUCUUUUAACUUUAAGGUUAAUCUUUCACUGCAUUUGCAGAUAAUGUUAUUUCAUGCUAGUAUUCACUUUUACUGCAGGAUAUAGCAGCAAGGCCUCUUUAAAAUACUGUCUUCUAUGUCAUGAUCCAGAAUGAAUAAUUACUUUCAAUAUAUGCAUUGAUUAUUCUUAUGAGCCAAUAAAGAAAGAUGCUUCAUGCCCUUGAACAUCAGACUCCAAGUUCUUCAGUUUUGGAACUCAGACUGGUUCUUGCUCCUCAGCGUGUAGACAACCUAUUGUGGGACCUUGUGAUCAUGCCUCAUAGGAUGUGCUUCCCUGUGAAGCGGAUGUUCUGA
Molecule: long non-coding RNA, 698 nt
Filed under: Callithrix jacchus (white-tufted-ear marmoset)
Lineage: Eukaryota; Metazoa; Chordata; Mammalia; Primates; Cebidae
Description: lncRNA (ENSCJAG00000077327.1)
Source: RNAcentral